GAAUAUUGGACAAUGGGCGCAAGCCUGAUCCAGCCAUGCCGCGUGUGUGAAGAAGGCCUUCGGGUUGUAAAGCACUUUCAGCGAGGAGGAAGGGUGUUGUGUUAAUAGCACAGCAUUUUGACGUUACUCGCAGAAGAAGCACCGGCUAACUCCGUGCCAGCAGCCGCGGUAAUACGGAGGGUGCAAGCGUUAAUCGGAAUUACUGGGCGUAAAGCGCACGUAGGCGGUGUGUUAAGUUGGAUGUGAAAUCCCCGGGCUCAACCUGGGAACUGCAUUCGAUACUGCAUUGCUAGAGUAUGGGAGAGGGAAGUGGAAUUUCCGGUGUAGCGGUGAAAUGCGUAGAUAUCGGAAGGAACACCAGUGGCGAAAGCGACUUCCUGGACCAAUACUGACGCUCAGGUGCGAAAGCGUGGGGAGCAAACAGG
This 425-nucleotide ribosomal RNA is filed under the name uncultured bacterium. RNAcentral describes it as "bacterial SSU rRNA". It matches the Rfam family "Bacterial small subunit ribosomal RNA", at positions 359 to 776 of the family's 1533-position model. The record is from RNAcentral.